This is a long non-coding RNA of Carassius auratus (goldfish), 1280 nucleotides long. RefSeq lists it as uncharacterized. The record is from RefSeq and is a predicted model, not a curated record. The transcript is spliced from 3 exons. Lineage: Eukaryota; Metazoa; Chordata; Actinopteri; Cypriniformes; Cyprinidae.
CACUACUACGGUGGCCGGGAAGUGCAAAACAAUAUUACAAAGUAUAAACACCUUUUACGAAGCUCGAGACAAAUUUACAUUUUGGAAAACAUUUUUACUUAUCAUAAAACACAAUUACAUGGGGAAAACACUUUUACCAAGAACGAAACAAAUUUACAUUUUAGAAAACAAAUUAACAAGAGGCAAAAAACUUUUACCAGCCCGAAACAAAUUUACAAUGACAGAUUUUUCACGGAAAGGGAAUGUACCACACACCGGAAGUGACGCGGUGAAAGGUGUUGUUGUUGUUGGUGAGCGCGGUAAAUUCGUGUGGUUGUGGAGUAAAUGGCAUAAAUGAAGUUUAUGGUGUCAGAACAUGGACUGCGGCCAAGGGAGGUUUUGCGGCAAACACAUGAACAGCUUAACGCGGUUUUGCUUCACGUGCGAUCGUUGUCUGGAGUUUCUAAACGACGCGGACCAGACGGAAACACAGGAGAUGUCUCGACAGCCGGACAGUGCUAAUCAAACAGAACAACCAUGCCCAUCAUACAAACAGUUCAUGGAGUAAAGAAGCUCAAAGACAAAAGAAGUCUUUUAACUAUGGGCCAAAAGGAAGAUUUACGCCUAAAGAAAGAAAACACGUCCAGAAGGCCAGGCUGCUUUGUCUGUGGAAGAUGUUUUGAUGUUUGCUACUGGGCUGUCUUCACUUCUGCCAUCUGGAUUGGAACCACUGCCACAAAUAGAGUUCCUGGAUGACUCUACGUUCCCAAUAGCAAAUACAGUUUGACCGGCCAUAAAUCGGAACCGGACGGUUUUUGCUUAAAAUACGCGAUCAGUCUUUUUUCGUCUGUUUUUUCUGGAAGUGUGCCCGCAUACAUUGUAAUCAUGUCAUUUGUGUGGAAGUAUUUUCGAAAUCUCUGCGCAGGACAAGGGCAGCUGUUCAGCUCUGGAAGGGCAUCGAUACAUGUCUGAGGCACAGGAAGCAAGCAGCUGUUGGUGUACUGGUUCACAAAUAAAAGCCUUUCCUGCACACUGAAGCUGCGCGAGCGCACAAGCGGAGACAGUGAAGAGAUCUUCAGCUCAACUUCUCGCCUGUUGGAUGAGAAACGAAACAGACUAAACAGUGACAUACACAUUUGAAAAGACAGAAGUAAAUGUCAGUUCGUAUAGGAUGAUUUUAUUUUACCUUAAAAUUACAUCGACUUAAUUUGAUUUAAAAAUCACCUGCUGUAGCACACUGAAAAAAGUGUUUCAUUCAUCCAAUUAAAAAAUUCAGAUUCACAUCUGUAUUUUUUUUUUAA